UGUGCCCUGAUAGGGUUGUACCAAUUGUUGAAAUACUAGUACUUUCCUAUCAUGUGGCAAAUAGCUGAUGGCCCAUGUUUCAUUCCCUGUGAACACGGCCUUGUGUCCAGACCCUCUGAGACCUCCCCCUGAUCUAGGAACUCAUGGAUUGUUUUUGGGCCAGCAGA
This 167-nucleotide small nucleolar RNA is filed under the name Myotis davidii. Its description in RNAcentral is "Small nucleolar RNA SNORA17". It matches the Rfam family "Small nucleolar RNA SNORA17". From Rfam's summary of the family: snoRNA ACA 17 belongs to the H/ACA family of snoRNAs and is predicted to guide pseudouridylation of the 28S rRNA at positions U4659 and U4598. It shares the same host gene together with ACA43. The record is from Rfam by way of RNAcentral. Lineage: Eukaryota; Metazoa; Chordata; Mammalia; Chiroptera; Vespertilionidae.